CGAACGCAACCUUCGGGUUGAGUGGCGGACGGGUGAGUAACGCGUGAGAAUCUGCCUUGGGGUCGGGGACAACCACUGGAAACGGUGGCUAAUACCGGAUAAGCCUUUGGGUAAAAGAUUUAUUGCCCCAAGAGGAGCUCGCGUCUGAUUAGCUAGUUGGUGAAGUAAGAGCUCACCAAGGCAGCGAUCAGUAGCUGGUCUGAGAGGACGAUCAGCCACACUGGGACUGAGACACGGCCCAGACUCCUACGGGAGGCAGCAGUGGGGAAUUUUCCGCAAUGGGCGAAAGCCUGACGGAGCAAGACCGCGUGAGGGAGGAAGGCUCUUGGGUUGUAAACCUCUUUUCUCAGGGAAGAAGCUCUGACGGUACCUGAGGAAUCAGCCUCGGCUAACUCCGUGCCAGCAGCCGCGGUAAUACGGAGGAGGCAAGCGUUAUCCGGAAUUAUUGGGCGUAAAGCGUCCGCAGGUGGCGAUUCAAGUCUGCUGUCAAAGCACGGGGCUUAACUCCGUUAAGGCAGUGGAAACUGAAUAGCUAGAGUGCCGUAGGGGUAGAGGGAAUUCCCGGUGUAGCGGUGAAAUGCGUAGAGAUCGGGAAGAACAUCGGUGGCGAAAGCGCUCUACUGGACGGCAAACUGACACUCAGGGACGAAAGCUAGGGGAGCGAAUUGGGAUUAGAUACCCCAGUAGUCCUAGCUGUAAACGAUGGAUACUAGGUGUAGCUUGUAUCGACCCGAGCUGUGCCGAAGCUAACGCGUUAAGUAUCCCGNCUGGGGAGUACGCA
This 781-nucleotide ribosomal RNA is filed under the name uncultured organism. RNAcentral's name for it is "bacterial SSU rRNA". It matches the Rfam family "Bacterial small subunit ribosomal RNA", at positions 63 to 886 of the family's 1533-position model. The record is from RNAcentral.